This 639-nucleotide ribosomal RNA is filed under the name uncultured bacterium. RNAcentral describes it as "bacterial SSU rRNA". It matches the Rfam family "Bacterial small subunit ribosomal RNA", at positions 232 to 885 of the family's 1533-position model. The record is from RNAcentral.
CGCGGCCUAUCAGCUUGUUGGCGGGGUAACGGCCCACCAAGGCAUCGACGGGUAGCUGGUUUGAGAGAACGAUCAGCCACACUGGGACUGAGACACGGCCCAGACUCCUACGGGAGGCAGCAGUGGGGAAUCUUGCGCAAUGGGCGAAAGCCUGACGCAGCAACGCCGCGUGCGGGAUGACGGCCUUCGUGGUUGUAAACCGCUUUCAGCAGGGACGAAAAUGACGGCACCUGCAGAAGAAGCCCCGGCUAACUACGUGCCAGCAGCCGCGGUAAUACGUAGGGGGCAAGCGUUGUCCGGAUUCAUUGGGCGUAAAGAGCUCGUAGGCGGUUCAGUAAGUCAGGUGUGAAAGCUCCGAGCUCAACUCGGAGAGGCCACUUGAUACUGCUGUGACUAGAAUCCAGUAGGGGAGCGUGGAACUCCUGGUGUAGCGGUGAAAUGCGCAGAUAUCAGGAAGAACACCAGCGGCGAAGGCGGCGCUCUGGGCUGGAAUUGACGCUGAGGAGCGAAAGUGUGGGUAGCAAACAGGAUUAGAUACCCUGGUAGUCCACACCGUAAACGUUGGGCACUAGGUGUGGGGAGGAUCAACCCUUUCCGUGCCGUAGCUAACGCAUUAAGUUCCCCGCCUGGGGAGUACGG